CCAAACCACUAAUGAUGCUUGCUUUUCAAUUUCUUUUCACAAUAACGACGAAAACAUGACUUCCUCAAAGUCCAUAUAUAUAAUUCAGAGCAAGAAAACAAUUUGGAUCCACCACCAAUGGCAUAGAUUCAACUAGUACCUAACCUACCUAAAAGUCUCCGUUAGACUUGGUUCACGAGACUCUUCAAGCUUCCUUCUCCUUUCCAUGAAAUUUACAGAAUAAAAAAAAAUCUACUUCUAAAGGUUUCUCUAACUUUUUUUAAGCUAUUGUUCUUAACCCUAUAACUUUUCCAGAAAGAUUUUUGUUUUUCUUAGCUUAAUGGCUUCUUCUUCCUCCUCUUCACGCAAUUGGGUAUACGAUGUUUUCCCGAGCUUUAGUGGGGAAGACGUCCGCGUAACUUUCCUCAGCCACUUUCUAAAAGAACUUGACCGAAAACUGAUAAUUUCUUUCAAAGACAACGAGAUCGAGAGAAGCCAGUCGCUCGAUCCCGAGCUUAAACAAGCGAUCAGGACUUCAAGGAUUGCGGUGGUUGUGUUUUCAGAGAAGUACGCAUCUUCAAGCUGGUGCCUGGAUGAGUUGCUGGAGAUCGUGAACUGCAAGGAAGAGUUGGAUCAACUAAUUAUACCGGUUUUCUACGGUUUAGAUCCAUCUCAUGUCAGGAAACAAACCGGAAACUUUGGAGAGGCUUUUGCUAAGACUUGUCAGAGAAAAACAGAGGAUGAAAGCAAGCUUUGGCGGCAAUCAUUGACCGACGUAGCAAGUCUCCUCGGAUAUCAUUCUCAAAACUGGCCUAACGAAGCAAAAAUGAUAGAAGCAAUUGCCAAUGAUAUCUUGGCUAAACUAAACUUAGCUCCAUCGAAGGAUUUUGAGGACUUUGUCGGAAUGGAAGAUCAUAUUGCAAAUAUGAGUGUAUUAUUGCAUUUGGAAUCUGACGAAGUGAGGAUGGUUGGGAUAUGGGGCACCUCAGGAAGUGGCAAAACUUCCAUUGCAAGAGUUUUAUACAACCAACUUUCUCGUCAGUUCCAAGGUAGAAUUUUCAUAGACAGAGCUUUCGUAUCUAAGAGCCUGGAAAUUUAUAAAAGUGCCAACCCGGACGACUAUAACAUGAAGUUGCAUUUGUUGAGAAAUUUCUUGUCUGAAAUUUUAGACAAAAAAGAUAUAAGGAUAAGUUGUUUAGGGGCAGUGGAAGAGAGGCUAAAACACCAAAAAGUUCUUAUAUUUAUUGAUGAUUUGGAUGAUCAAGUGGUGCUAGAUACUUUGGUCGGUCAAACUCAGUGGUUUGGAAGUGGGAGUAGAAUCAUUUUGGUUACAAAAGACAAACAUUUUUUACGGGCCCAUGGGAUUGAUCAUAUCUAUGAAGUAUGUCUCCCAUCUCAGAAGCUUGCUCUUGAGAUGUUCUCUAGAUAUGCUUUUAGGCAAAACUUUCCACCCGACGGUUUGAUAGAGCUUGCUUCUGAAGUUGCAUUAUGUGCCGGUAAUCUUCCUUUGGGUCUUAAGGUUUUGGGCUCGUAUUUAAGGGGUAGAGACAAAGAGGAUUUAAUGGAUAUGUUGCCGAGGCUUCGAAAUGGUUUGGAUGGAAAAAUUGAGAAGACACUAAGACUCAGCUAUGAUGGAUUAAAUGAUAAAAAAGAUAAAGCAAUAUUACGUCACAUUGCAUGUCUUUUCAAUGGUGAAAAAGUCAGUAACAUCAAGUUGUUACUAGCACACAGCGGCUUGGAUGUUAAUAUCGGGUUGAAAAACCUCGUUGAAAAAUCUCUUAUAUAUGUACGAGAGGGUAUCGUUGAGAUGCACUCUUUGCUACAAGAAAUGGGUAAGGAGAUCGUGCGCGCACAGUCCAAUGAACCUGGAGAAAGGGAAUUCCUUAUGGACUCAAAGGAUAUAUGUGAUUUACUAGAAGAUAACACUGGUACCAAAAAGAUAAUAGGUAUAUCAUUGGAUAUGGAUGAGACUGAUGAACUGCGUAUACAUGAGAGUGCUUUCAAAGAGAUGCGUAAUCUUCUUUUUCUAGAAAUUUACACUAAGGAGUGGUACCAACAAAGGUUAACAACAAGAAAAUCGGACCAAAAGAAAGAGGUGAGAUGGCACUUACCAGAAGGGUUUGACUAUUUACCCCAUAAACUUAGAUUAUUGAGGUUGGACGAUUAUCCAAGGAGGUGUAUGCCUUCUAAUUUUUGUCCUCAAAAUCUCGUUAAGCUCCAAAUGCAAGGGAGCAAACUCGAGAGGCUAUGGGAAGGAGUUCAUACACUUGGAGGGCUCAAGAAAAUAGAUUUGAAAAGAUCUAUACAUUUGAAAGAAAUUCCAGAUCUUUCAAUGGCCACCAAUCUCGAGACACUUGAUCUUAGUGAUUGCUCAAGUUUGGUGGAACUUCCUUCCUCUAUUCAAUAUCUCAAUAAGCUAGAGCAGUUAAUCAUGUCAGGAUGCAGUAAUGUAGAGACUCUUCCCAAUGGAAUCAAUCUCCAAUCUCUUGAUACGCUUGACCUCCAAGGAUGCUCACGGUUGAAUAUUUUUCCUGAUAUCUCAACCAACAUCUCAGUGCUCCUUAUCAAGAAUACAUGUAUUGAAGAAAUUACCUCUCAUUUGUGUCUAAUGAAUCUUACUGUUCUUAGAAUCAUGAAUGAGAACUUUUGGAAAACAGUGCAGCCGCUUACACCUCUCAUGGCGAUGCUGCCUCACACUUUGGGGAGAUUGUUUCUGUCGGAUAUUCCAAGUUUGGUGGAGAUUCCUUCCUCUAUCCAGAAUUUCACUAAACUUGAUAUUUUGCAAAUUACGGAUUGCAUAAAUCUGGAGACUCUUCCCACUGGUAUCAACUUACAUCAUCUUUAUACCCUUAAUCUCAGUGGAUGCUCACGGUUGGACACUUUUCCUAAUAUCUCAACCAACAUUAGACAGCUCCUUCUACAACGAACAGGGAUAGAAGAGGUCCCUUGGUGGAUCGAGAAAUUCACUAAGCUCACAUACAUGACUAUGGAGAAGUGCAACAAUUUAGUACGUGUAUCCUUAAACAUUUACAAACUGAAACAACUAACCGCUGAAUUUUCAGGCUGUGGGUCAUUGACCGAAGCUAGUUGGAAUGGUAGUCCAAGUGAGGUGGCAAUAGCAACAGAUAACAUUCACUCUAAGUUUCCAAUCCAGGGACUUGACGAGGCUUUCUCAUAUCACCCAAGUUAUUAUCAACGAAAAGUGGGAUUCACCUUCAAGUUCUUAAACUUGGAUCCAGAAGCUAUCCUCCACAACCAAUCAAUUAUUUUCAACUCCAUGAUAUUGUUAGGUGAAGAAGUGCCUUCAUAUUUCACUCACCAAUCUAUUGGUUCCGGAGAAUCUUUGACCAAUAUCCCUCUACUUCACACAUCUCUCUCUCAACAAUUCUUCAAAUUUAGGGCUUGCGCCGUGGUUGUUUUCGAUUCUAAGCCCAUUAAUAGUGGGAAUGCAAUACAUAUCCAUGUAAACUGUCGGUUCAAAGACAGAUUUGGGAACAGCUUUGAUUCAUCUGGUCAGCUACAUGACUUCUACACACCUAUGACAGAUAGUCAUCUGUUUAUAUUGGACUGUCGUAUCCCUCUAAACGAUGUUAAUGCUCCUCUAGCUCAAGGGAACUACGAUCACGUCGAUAUGCAGAUUCAUAUAAAAAAGAUAUGGCAGGGUCCAUUAUACAUGAAUGACUCUAAGUUAACAUUUAAUGGAUGGGGUAUACGACUCUUAGAGGAAUCUUCAUCACUGGAGAAUAGACUUAGUAACUCAAACACAAUUCCACAUGUUUGUGAAGCAGGUGAAGACAAUUUGGUUAAUAAGACUGAGCACAGAGAAGAGUGUGUUGAGACGACAGUUGUGAAGAGACAGAGAGAAACUGGAAGCGAAAGCAGAUUACGUGAAGCACCACUCAAGAAACCUCUGCUUUUCCCUGCCUCUGAUACCCAGGAGGAACACAAGACGUCACUUUGAAUCUUUGAUUGUGCGAAUAUUGAAAUGAGUACGUUUUCGUCAGUUCUAAUGGACCAACAUGCCUCCCCAGCUGAAGAGACGGUUUUAGCAUGUUUACAAAGGCUGCUUCUGUAAUCAGUUGAGAGAAGAGAAGAUUAAAAAACUGUUGAGAUAAUACUUUGGUGAUGAGAAUGGAUUUUUCUAGGCCGGGAUGAUUUGGCUUUACUUAGUUUCGAUUAUAAAAGGAAAGAACAACAUUCAAAUCAAUUAUCAACCCUAUGACCUCUCCUAUCAUUACUACUAUAAUAUUCCCUUGUAAUCAAUUCAGAAUAUAUGACUUGCUUCCCAAGGUUUUUCCAUCAUUAGUUUCCUCUGACAACUUCUUAUACACGUUUCCUUCUUUCUUUUUUUCUCGUCUUGAUGAAAUCUGCAAAAUGUAUCUGAAAUUUUAUACUUACAGACUUAUGCAUAGAAUUUUUUA
Camelina sativa (false flax) is the source of this 4400-nucleotide RNA transcript. It is a transcript of the gene named disease resistance protein RPS6-like, with no coding region annotated. NCBI's taxonomy places the organism in Eukaryota, Viridiplantae, Streptophyta, Magnoliopsida, Brassicales, Brassicaceae. The record is from RefSeq and is a predicted model, not a curated record.